CGCAUCAACACGAUUAUCAAAAGCAUUGUGUAUUUUCUUGAUUGCAACUUUCUCGUUGGUUUCCCUAUUCACCGAGGAGCACACAAUUCCAUAAGCUCCUCGGCCAAUUGGCUUGAUGGGCACAUAUUUUGUGUCAAUCUCAAACAAAGUUUGCCACAUAGAAUAGUAAUGCUUCCCCUGAAUUCUAACUCCAUUUGGAGGCUCAACCGGAGUCGCCAUUUCUUUUGAUCUUGUGAAGAUCUUCCUUAUACAAAUAAACCAACUUUACAAUCCGCUACCCACAGCAGAACUCAUCCCAAAUUCAGCUGAAAAUUCUCUGGAAAAAAAUCAAAGUUCCUCGAAUUCCCAACAAACAAAGCCAUUAUUUUCCCGAAAUUACCCUCAAACCUAGUUCAAUUGGCCCAUUUCAUCUCUGGAACUCAUCCAGCAUCAAGCCUUGUUCAAUUUGGCGCCAGAGAAGCAUAAAUUAUCGGUCUCUGUGAAGCAAAAAGGUUAGAGGCUUGGUGUUCGAUCUGUUGUGGUGAAGAGUUUGUCAACGCCCAACGGUGACUUCUAUGAAAUUUCGCAGCGAUCAAGAUCCGUU
This 583-nucleotide unclassified non-coding RNA is filed under the name Hevea brasiliensis (rubber tree). The record is from RNAcentral. Lineage: Eukaryota; Viridiplantae; Streptophyta; Magnoliopsida; Malpighiales; Euphorbiaceae.